Molecule: ribosomal RNA, 301 nt
Filed under: uncultured bacterium
Lineage: Bacteria
Description: partial 16S ribosomal RNA
Rfam family: Bacterial small subunit ribosomal RNA
Source: RNAcentral
CAGCAGCCGCGGUAAAACGGAGGGUGCAAGCGUUAAUCGGAAUUACUGGGCGUAAAGCGCACGCAGGCGGUCUGUCAAGUCGGAUGUGAAAUCCCCGGGCUCAACCUGGGAACUGCAUUCGAAACUGGCAGGCUAGAGUCUUGUAGAGGGGGGUAGAACUCCAGGUGUAGCGGUGAAAUGCGUAGAGAUCUGGAGGAAUACCGGUGGCGAAGGCGGCCCCCUGGACAAAGACUGACGCUCAGGUGCGAAAGCGUGGGGAGCAAACAGGAUUAGAUACCCGCGUAGUCCCUGUCUCUUAUAC